GUAGAUUUGAAUGUAAGGAAAGACUAACCACAUGAGCUUAUAUGUUAGGAUCACAUAAUUAACUAUAUUUCAAACUACUAAAAAUACGAUUGAAUACUACAAUACUUUUUUCUAUUAAUAAUACUCCUUCAUCAACCAAUAACAACAAAGUACAAUCCUACACUCUCAAAAUUCCACUCAAAAUACAUAAAUCCCAUCCAACACUGGAAAUAAUAGACUUCCAUUCCAACUAAUUUAGCUUCACACAAUUUUUGUAAUCACAAACUUAUUCUAUUGAAAUAUACACAACUCUCAAUAAACAAUCAUAAUCUUCCAUCCAUAAACCAUCUCCGAUACAAUCUGAUAACAAACUCUCAAUAUCUUCUCAUAAUAAUUCAUUCCUACAUUACUUCAAUUACAUUCUCAAUAUCUUAUAAAUCAAUCUUUGAUUUAUUCCUUAAAUUCACUUCAUAGUGAUCAAAACCUAAAACAACAAAUAAAUAAGAAACAAGAGAUAGCACCAAGUUUAUCCCAACUCAUGACUAUCACAGUCUGGCC
RNAcentral lists this long non-coding RNA (537 nucleotides) under Physcomitrium patens. Its description in RNAcentral is "long non-coding RNA (PPAT_LNC001474)". The record is from RNAcentral. Lineage: Eukaryota; Viridiplantae; Streptophyta; Bryopsida; Funariales; Funariaceae.